AGUGAACGCUGGCGGUAGGCCUAACACAUGCAAGUCGAACGGCAGCACAGUAAGAGCUUGCUCUUACGGGUGACGAGUGGCGGACGGGUGAGGAAUACAUCGGAAUCUACUUUUUCGUGGGGGAUAACGUAGGGAAACUUACGCUAAUACCGCAUACGACCUACGGGUGAAAGCAGGGGAUCUUCGGACCUUGCGCGAUUGAAUGAGCCGAUGUCGGAUUAGCUAGUUGGCGGGGUAAAGGCCCACCAAGGCGACGAUCCGUAGCUGGUCUGAGAGGAUGAUCAGCCACACUGGAACUGAGACACGGUCCAGACUCCUACGGGAGGCAGCAGUGGGGAAUAUUGGACAAUGGGCGCAAGCCUGAUCCAGCCAUACCGCGUGGGUGAAGAAGGCCUUCGGGUUGUAAAGCCCUUUUGUUGGGAAAGAAAAGCAGCAGGUUAAUACCCCGCUGUUCUGACGGUACCCAAAGAAUAGGCACCGGCUAACUUCGUG
Molecule: ribosomal RNA, 492 nt
Filed under: uncultured bacterium
Lineage: Bacteria
Description: partial 16S ribosomal RNA
Rfam family: Bacterial small subunit ribosomal RNA
Source: RNAcentral